GGGCCUGUAGCUCAGCGGUAGAGCGGCCGGCUCAUAACCGGUUGGUCGGUGGUUCGAAUCCGCCCAGGCCCACCA
Molecule: transfer RNA, 75 nt
Filed under: Pseudomonadota bacterium
Lineage: Bacteria; Pseudomonadati; Pseudomonadota
Also listed under: 1 other name
Description: tRNA-Ile
Rfam family: tRNA
About the family: Transfer RNA (tRNA) molecules are approximately 80 nucleotides in length.
Source: RNAcentral